AUUGAACGCUGGCGGCAUGCCUAACACAUGCAAGUCGAACGAGUGGCGGACGGGUGAGUAAUUUCUGGGAAACUGCCUGAUGGAGGGAGAUAACUACUGGAAACGGUAGCUACUACCGCAUACCAUCAGAUGUGCCCAGAUUGGAUUAGCUAGUUGGUGUGGUAACGGAUCACCAAGGCGACGAUCCCUAGCUGGGCUGAGAGGAUGACCGGCCACACUGGAAAUGAGAAACGGUCCAGACUCCUACGGGAGGCAGCAGUGGGGAAUAUUGGACAAUGGGCGCAAGCCUGAUGCAGCCAUGCCGCGUGUAUGAAGAAGGUCUUCGGGUUGUAAAGUACUUUCAGCGGGGAGGCGGUACCCGCAGAAGAAGCACCGGCUAACUCCGUGCCAGCAGCCGCGGUAAUAC
This 406-nucleotide ribosomal RNA is filed under the name uncultured bacterium. RNAcentral's name for it is "partial 16S ribosomal RNA". It matches the Rfam family "Bacterial small subunit ribosomal RNA", at positions 30 to 526 of the family's 1533-position model. The record is from RNAcentral.